This 386-nucleotide transfer-messenger RNA is filed under the name Pseudonocardia cypriaca. RNAcentral describes it as "Standard tmRNA". It matches the Rfam family "transfer-messenger RNA". Rfam says of the family: Bacterial tmRNA, also known as 10Sa RNA or SsrA, is named for its dual tRNA and mRNA-like properties. Its role is to liberate the mRNA from a stalled ribosome. To accomplish this part of the tmRNA is used as a reading frame that ends in a translation stop signal. The record is from Rfam by way of RNAcentral. Lineage: Bacteria; Bacillati; Actinomycetota; Actinomycetes; Pseudonocardiales; Pseudonocardiaceae.
GGGGGUGAACGGUCUCGACUCCGGAUGCGGAUCGAGGGGAAGCGUGCCGAGGAAGGCGACGAUGAUCUCGUUAACCACCCGUCGCAAAAAAAUAAGUGCCGCUAAUACGCGCACUGUCCCGGCUCAGGCCGAGUUCGCACUCGCCGCCUGAUCCAGUGAGGGACUGUCGGUCCGGGUGCGUUCCCGACCCGGGGUCCGGCAUCAGCUAGGGGACUCACCCGUUCGUCCGGUCGCGGGGCGGACGGGGACAACAAACAGCGACUGGGAUCGUCACACCGGCUCGUCCGCGUGACCGGUGGAUCCGAGUAGAGGCACAGCGGACUGCGCACGGAGAAGCCCUCGCGAAGCAACGGAGGACCCGGGUUCGAUUCCCGGCACCUCCACCC